RNAcentral lists this ribosomal RNA (458 nucleotides) under uncultured Syntrophaceae bacterium. RNAcentral's name for it is "bacterial SSU rRNA". It matches the Rfam family "Bacterial small subunit ribosomal RNA", at positions 922 to 1382 of the family's 1533-position model. Lineage: Bacteria; Pseudomonadati; Thermodesulfobacteriota; Syntrophia; Syntrophales; Syntrophaceae. The record is from RNAcentral.
CGACAAGCGGUGGAGCAUGUGGUUAAUUCGUACGCAACGCGAAGAACCUUACCAGGGCUUGACAUCCCUGACCGCGUAUGAAAGUACGUUUUCACCCUCGGGUGACAGGGAGACAGGUGGUGCAUGGUUGUCGUCAGCUCGUGUCGUGAGAUGUUGGGUUAAGUCCCGCAACGAGCGCAACCCUUGCCUUUAGUUGCCAUCAUUCAGUUGGGCACUCUAGAGGGACUGCCGGUGUCAAACCGGAGGAAGGUGGGAUGACGUCAAGUCCUCAUGGCCUUUAUGCCCAGGGCUACACACGUGCUACAAUGGGCGGUACAAAGAGCAGCGAGCUCGCGAGAGUAAGCAAAUCUCAAAAAGCCGUCCUCAGUUCGGAUUGGAGUCUGCAACUCGACUCCAUGAAGUUGGAAUCGCUAGUAAUCGCGGAUCAGCAUGCCGCGGUGAAUACGUUCCCGGGCCUU